GUGUGUGUUGAAACCAGCGAAAGAUUAGUCCAUAUAUGGGUGUGGAAUCUGGCCAGGGAAGAGGCAGCUUGGUCCAGCCCCCUGUGGGAGGCCAGUGGCAGGGCACUUGGAAGGUUGCAGAGGCUACAAACAGGCAAGCUGCUUGGGAGUCUGUGGCCUUGGCAGACUAGCUCCCCUUCAUCACAGAGCCGCAGGGAGGGGACAGAUGCGCCAGCAGACGUGCUUGAGCAGAGCCUGCCCAGGGUGAGUACAGGGUGGCCAUGCAGGCGACUCGGGCCAGGAUCGCCCUGGCCCUGUGACAUGAAGGCCAUGGGACCACGUCUCGUCCCAGGCUUGCUGGAGGCUACAGGACCUGGGAGGGGCUCCAACAGGGGACAGCAGAGGCGGUGCACCCUGACCCCCCGGAGCCCCGUCUCAGUUGGUCCCCUCCAUCCUGGGCCAGCUCCCAGAGGAGGGGCCGUGAAGCCCUGGGGGAAAGACCUUCCGCUGUGUGUGUGUGUGUGUGUGUGUGUGUGUGUGUGCGCGCAUGCACACGUACUCAUGUGUUGUGUGCGCCUCUCCCGUGCCUGUCACACAUGAAGCAGGGCCCAGGAGGGGUGGGUGCUGAGGAGGGCGAGUGGGUGGCCACCACCUUCUCCUUCACGUCCUUCUGGGUUGUUCUUCCCGCAGAGAAUCCCGACACAGCGUUUGAGCAAGAAAGAGAGCGGCAAAGCGAGGAGAGAGGUGAGCAAAAGCCCUAAAGGGGCAUUUUAGACAAGAGGCCACGCGAAUCUUCGCAUGGCCAGGAAAGACAAAAGGAGCUCAACACCACGGGUCAUGCGGGAAAUGCAAAUAAAACCACAGCGAGAUACCA
RNAcentral lists this long non-coding RNA (853 nucleotides) under Sus scrofa (pig). RNAcentral's name for it is "lncRNA (ENSSSCG00015052655.1)". The record is from RNAcentral. Lineage: Eukaryota; Metazoa; Chordata; Mammalia; Artiodactyla; Suidae.